Molecule: long non-coding RNA, 1255 nt
Organism: Polypterus senegalus (gray bichir)
Lineage: Eukaryota; Metazoa; Chordata; Cladistia; Polypteriformes; Polypteridae
Exons: 3
Source: RefSeq, a predicted model, not a curated record
CCAGUUAAGUGUACAGGCAGAAGAUGUAAAGCUUGUAUAGUAUGUCUAAGGCUUAGAAUACAGUGAAUCUCAAGAAAGUUUCAUUCAGACAAGCAGAUUUCACCUGUAUGUCCACAAGAUGUUUUAAUGGAGGAACAGAAAAAAUAUAUGAUGUUAUACACAACUGAAUCAAGACUACAAUUCUCACCAUUAGUGGUGUGGAAAUGGGUCUUUGGAAGACAGAUCUUAGUAUCACAUCAGCAAAGUAGCUUGUCAAAGUCAGCCUGAAUAAAUUGUAAAUAUUAAGAUUGGCAAAUAUAUUUUAUCAUAUUUUGUUUUAAAGAGAAUGGCGUAUUUCAUAUAUCUCUUCUUAAUUUAACAUGGAAUGUAACAAUACUUUGGGAACAAAAGUGUUUUAUUUUCAUUAAAAUUUUUUAUUAUUUGUUUAAUUUGUUCUUGGUACUUUCUUUGACUUGCCUGUAUGCUUUACUUUAGCACACAAGCAUUUUUAAUAAAAUGCUAUCCACAGGUCUGAGAUGACUAUUAAUUAUGAAGCUAAAAGUUAUUGCUGACCUCUUGUGGGAUGGAGGUGAGUUUUUCAUACUUUGUGUAAACUACUUACAGGACACAUUUUACACUAUUCUAUUAAAAGUAUGUUACAAUAUGUCAAACUAUUACAACAGCUGUCAAGGCAAUACGUUACUUUAAAGCAUUAACCGUACAUAUCAAAAAAUAAUAACUGUAUCCUCAGUGAAUAUCUGUUGCUUUUGUUUGUAUUUGUUUUAAAUGUUCGUUCAUUUUGCCAUUCGUUUUCUGAACCCACCUAGUCCAGAACAUGGGUGUUUCAGAUAUAUUUUUAUGCUUUUUCCAUUUUUUUUUUUAAGUUCAGCUUUAGCGUUAAUGUUUCCUGUUUUCUUUCCUUCCCACUCACAUGUUUUUUACUCUGUAAGGAAAAACUUACACUUUGCAUGAAAAUAUAAUUAUUGUAAUAGCUACCAGUAAAUAAAAAGCCUGCAUGUAUCUUGUAACAAAAGAGUGUUUCUAAAUAAAACAUGUUACAUGUAUUAAUUUCUUAAAAUAAUUUGUGGAUGUAACUUACAUGAACUGCAUUGAAAAACUUUGUAAGUUUAAAGAAAAAGUCUAUCUGGAUAACAUCAGCUCUUCUUUUAUACAAUAACCUUUCUUAAAAUUACAAGGUAUACCCAUAACUUUUCGCUUUACGUCAUCAUGAAGUUUCCUUUGACACGGCAGUGUGAGAAUCAUCUGAUGAGAUAUG